RNAcentral lists this non-coding RNA (956 nucleotides) under Hydrolagus affinis (small-eyed rabbitfish). Its description in RNAcentral is "12S ribosomal RNA". It matches the Rfam family "Bacterial small subunit ribosomal RNA". Lineage: Eukaryota; Metazoa; Chordata; Chondrichthyes; Chimaeriformes; Chimaeridae. The record is from RNAcentral.
ACAAGGUUUGGUCCUAGCCUCAGUAUUAUUUUCAACUAAACUUACACAUGCGAGUUUCCGCAUCCCAGUGAGAUUGCCCCUACUCAUCCUUUAAGAAAUCAGGGAGCAGGUAUCAGGCACGCCUUCAUCAGCCCAAGACACCUUGCUUAGCCACACCCCCAAGGGACUUCAGCAGUGAUUAAUAUUAAAUAAUAAACGAAAGUUUGAUCUAGUUAAAGUUAUCAGAGCCGGCCAACCUCGUGCCAGCCGCCGCGGUUAUACGAGAGGCCCAAAUUAAUGAAACAACGGCGUAAAGAGUGUAUAAGAAAAACCUUACCCUAUUUAAAGCUAAAAAAGUGCUUAACUGUUAUACGUGCCCGCACCAAUGAAAAACAAUUACGAAAGAAACUUUAUAAAAAUCAAGGCCUCUUAAAACACGAUAGCUAAAAACCAAACUGGGAUUAGAUACCCCACUAUGUUUAGCCCUAAACCUAGGUGUUUAAAUACCCAAACACCCGCCAGAGAACUACAAGCGCCAGCUUGAAACCCAAAGGACUUGGCGGUGCCUUAGAUCCCCCUAGAGGAGCCUGUUCUAGAACCGAUAAUCCCCGUUUAACCUCACCACCCCUUGCUCUUUCAGCCUAUAUACCGCCGUCGCCAGCUUGCCCCAUGAGGGAAAAACAGCAAGCACAAAGGAUUAAACUCCAAAACGUCAGGUCGAGGUGUAGCAUACGGGAUGGGAAGAAAUGAGCUACAUUUUCUAUCAAGACUAACAGAUAAAUAAUGAAAUUAAACUUGAAGUUGGAUUUAGUAGUAAGAUAUAAAUAGUAUAUUAAUCUGAAAAUGGCUCUGAGGCGCGCACACACCGCCCGUCACUCUCCUCAACAAGAUAAUUAAAUUUAUAAUAAAAAAACUUCCUAACAAGAGGAGGCAAGUCGUAACAUGGUAAGCGUACUGGAAAGUGCGCUUGGAAUCAU